AUAUACGACCGUACCGCAAACCGACACUGGUGCGCGAGAUGAGUAUUCUAAGGCGCUUGAGAGAACUCAGGAGAAGGAACUCGGCAAAUUGACACCGUAACUUCGGAAGAAGGUGUGCCCUAUUAGUGUGAAGUGAACAACGGAGCAUGAAUGGGUUGCAAAAAAUCGGUGGCUGCGACUGUUUAUUAAAAACACAGCACUCUGCAAACACGAAAGUGGACGUAUAGGGUGUGACGCCUGCCCGGUGCUGGAAGAUUAAAUGAUGGGGUGCAAGCUCUUGAUUGAAGUCCCAGUAAACGGCGGCCGUAACAAUAACGGUCCUAAGGUAGCGAAAUUCCUUGUCGGGUAAGUUCCGACCUGCACGAAUGGCGUAACGAUGGCCACACUGUCUCCUCCUGAGACUCAGCGAAGUUGAAAUGUUUGUGAUGAUGCAAUCUCCCCGCGGAAAGACGGAAAGACCCCAUGAACCUUUACUGUAGCUUUGUAUUGGACUUUGAACAGAUCUGUGUAGGAUAGGUGGGAGGCUUUGAAGCAGGGUCGCUAGAUCUUGUGGAGCCAACGUUGAAAUACCACCCUGGUGUGUUUGAGGUUCUAACCUAGGUCCAUUAUCUGGAUCGGGGACAGUGCAUGGUAGGCAGUUUGACUGGGGCGGUCUCCUCCCAAAGCGUAACGGAGGAGUUCGAAGGUACGCUAGUUACGGUCGGACAUCGUGACGAUAGUGCAAUGGCAUAAGCGUGCUUAACUGCGAGACUGACAAGUCGAGCAGAUGCGAAAGCAGGACAUAGUGAUCCGGUGGUUCUGUAUGGAAGGGCCAUCGCUCAACGGAUAAAAGGUACUCUGGGGAUAACAGGCUGAUACCGCCCAAGAGUUCAUAUCGACGGCGGUGUUUGGCACCUCGAUGUCGGCUCAUCUCAUCCUGGGGCUGUAGCCGGUCCCAAGGGUAUGGCUGUUCGCCAUUUAAAGAGGUACGUGAGCUGGGUUUAAAACGUCGUGAGACAGUUUGGUCCCUAUCUUCCGUGGGCGCUGCAGAUUUGAGGAAGCCUGCUCCUAGUACGAGAGGACCGGAGUGGACACACCUCUGGUGUAUCGGUUGUCACGCCAGUGGCAUUGCCGAGUAGCUAAGUGUGGAAGAGAUAACCGCUGAAAGCAUCUAAGCGGGAAACUCGUUUCAAGAUGAGAUCUGCCGGGGCCUUGAGCCCCCUGAAGAGUCGUUCAAGACCAGGACGUUGAUAGGUCAGGUGUGGAAGCGCAGUAAUGCGUUAAGCUAACUGAUACUAAUUGCUCGUGCGGCUUGACCG
Molecule: ribosomal RNA, 1298 nt
Filed under: metagenome
Description: bacterial LSU rRNA
Rfam family: Bacterial large subunit ribosomal RNA
Source: RNAcentral